GCCCAGGGCGGCCGGGCCCACGACGCCGAAAGCGCCGCUGCGGUUGCCGCCUCGGAGGCUCCCCCGGGCCCCGGCGGCUGGACCCGGCGCGGGCGGGAGGCUCGGGCGGGCGGUCCGGCCCGGGACUCGGGUUUGGGCGACCAGGAGGUGCCGGUGGCCGCGCUCGGACCCGGUUCUCCAACGGAGGAGCUUUUUAACCUCUUUCCGGUGAGGUGGGAACUCAUCUUCAUGAUCGAAUUUAAAAGAACAAUGGAACCCUGACUACGUUUCAACAAAAAUAAAACUUGUUUUUUUCCCUCCUAUUGGGUGUUGGCUUUUAACUCUUUCAAAGCCGAUUUUGAAACGGCUGCAGUGAUACAUGCGAAGGUGACUUAAGAGAUUAAAAUUAAUUUGGUUGCUGAUGGUUCUGAACAAAUAAUGAGUUCUUUUAUUUGAGGUAUGCCAUUUUGAAGACUGAGACAUUGGAGUUUUAUCCUAGAGGAUAAAGGAA
RNAcentral lists this long non-coding RNA (490 nucleotides) under Pan troglodytes (chimpanzee). RNAcentral's name for it is "lincRNA". Lineage: Eukaryota; Metazoa; Chordata; Mammalia; Primates; Hominidae. The record is from RNAcentral.